CCUACGGGGGGCAGCAGUGGGGAAUAUUGGACAAUGGGGGCAACCCUGAUCCAGCCAUGCCGCGUGUGUGAAGAAGGCCCUCGGGUUGUAAAGCACUUUCAGUGAGGAAGAACGCCUGGUGGUUAAUACCCAUCAGGAAAGACAUCACUCACAGAAGAAGCACCGGCUAACUCCGUGCCAGCAGCCGCGGUAAUACGGAGGGUGCGAGCGUUAAUCGGAAUUACUGGGCGUAAAGCGCGCGUAGGUGGCUUGAUAAGCCGGUUGUGAAAGCCCCGGGCUCAACCUGGGAACGGCAUCCGGAACUGUCAAGCUAGAGUGCAGGAGAGGAAGGUAGAAUUCCCGGUGUAGCGGUGAAAUGCGUAGAGAUCGGGAGGAAUACCAGUGGCGAAGGCGGUCUUCUGGACUGACACUGACACUGAGGUGCGAAAGCGUGGGUAGCAAACAGGAUUAGAUACCCCGGUAGUC
RNAcentral lists this ribosomal RNA (465 nucleotides) under Vreelandella stevensii. RNAcentral's name for it is "partial 16S ribosomal RNA". It matches the Rfam family "Bacterial small subunit ribosomal RNA", at positions 338 to 795 of the family's 1533-position model. Lineage: Bacteria; Pseudomonadati; Pseudomonadota; Gammaproteobacteria; Oceanospirillales; Halomonadaceae. The record is from RNAcentral.